UGCAAAUAGAAACAUCCACAGAAAAGCGAAAGAUAAAAAUGUAUAGGUAUGUUAAUUGAACUCAAAAACAGUUAUUUUAGCCACAAUUAAAGUGCCCAUCUCAGGACUGUCUUGAGGCUGAGCACAUUUACCCACUGGGCUGAGAGCAGCUCAUUCUUUUAUAGACAUCAUGCCCCACAGAACUUGUUUCAUUUUCCCGAGUACUAUUUUUCCAUUAUAAAGAUUAGCACACGGUCAUUACAGGAAUUUUGGAAACUGUAGAAAAUCGAAGGGGGGUUAAAAAAAUCCUUAUUUCUUCUUGACUUAAAGACAGCUAUUAACUAAGAUUUUUUUUUUCAGUUUUCUUUCUAUGUAUGAGUUUUAUUUUGUUUGAGGCCAGAGGGAGAAUAGGGGAAUCAAGGGAGAAUUUAAGGCAAAAAGUGAAGCGGAGUAUCCAAGGUCGUCAAAAUAACACAGCACGACAGAGAGCGGCCGUCUCAGUGCACGUCUGGCGACGGAACAGGACCGGAUGCGUGAGUCAGGAAGGUCGCCCGGCGUGAGAAGGGAGGCGGACGUCAUCGCAGCGACGGAGUAGAGUUUGUCUCGAUCAGUUUAUGAUAAAAACAGAUCUGAAAGAAUAAUGUGCUAGAACAAUGACAUGUACACGCUGGGUUUCACGCUGUACUUGCAGAGGACACCAUUCUUUCUGGUGUCAGUGGAAACAUUCAACAAUGGCUCAUGUAAUGGAUGCGAUGCUAAGAGUUUGCCUCCAGGAAACCCCAGCAAGAGCCAUCUGUCCAAGCAAGUGGUGGUUCUGUAGCAGGAGGCCGGAGGCAGCACGGCCACUGGAAGGCACACCCAGGGUGGCCAGCUGCUCCCCUUGGCCCUGUGUCCUGGGUGUGUGUGUGGCCGUUGUCCUCAUGACUGCCUGAGUGAGGGCCACUGUGCCUCUGAGCAUUGCGCUCAGUUCCAGGCAGAAGGAAUUGGAGGGCAAAGGGGCAGGCGGCCGGCGUUGCGAAGCCCCCACUGAAUGCUGUGGUGAAGGAGUGGACAGAGAGAGGCCGGGAGGGAGGGAAACCUGGGACAGGUGCCUCGCUGGUGUGCCCGCCUGAAGGGUGGGGAGCAAGAGCAUCGACCAGCUGGCUCCUGGCGCCACGGGUUGAGGGCUGCUCAGGGAUUGCUCGGAGCAGCUCCCAUGAGGGCGCAAGCACAAGAAACAGUCCUCUCAGGGCCGCCGAGCCAGUGCAGCCACGGUCAGAAGACUGCUUCCUCGAAAGAAGAACAGAGACCAAAGCCCAGGAGCAGGGAGUGGGGCGGAAGACCUCCUCCUCCUCCUGAACAGGUUUGGAGUGGAUUGGACAGCUGGCCCCUGACAUUUCCUCAGCACCCAAGGGCCACCUCUGCAGAACCCUGCUCACCACCCUGUGGGCUGCCACUUGCAGCCUUCAUCUAGAAGGACUGCUACCGUGCAGAACAUGACCCAGCUGCACCCCUUUGGGGGGCCUUGCAGAGAUUCACAUGGAGAGGAGACUGACCCCCCUCACUUCAGAGGAGGGGUGCAUGGGAAGCUCCUGGGAAGGGGAGUGAGGGUGGCAGGAUGGGCACAGGUGGACCCCACAGGACUCUGGGGGGCCCGCCAAACACUCUGCAUGUGAACUGACCCCUUCCGAGGCUGCAUCCGUCCCCCUGGAUGGCAGGGACUGUGUCCCACUCCCUCCCACUACUCAGCCCACAUUUGCUGAGAUUAGCAGGAUGGGGUUAGUAUUUAAUUCCCUCUGGGCUGCUUAGCGCUUUCUGUGGCCACAACCAACCUAUAGAAACUGAUUCUGGGUAAUUUAACCAAAAGGGAAUUUAUUGAGAGGGUGCUGGGGACUCCCAGGGUAGAACAGAAGGCCAGACAGCAGCUACAGGGAGCCAGAGGCCCCCUCGAGAAUGGGUGGGCUGCAGCUCCCGCCCACGGCCCCAGGCCCACCUCUGCUGUGGGGAGAGGAACCGACCCCUUCCCCAGCUCUGGGGGCCCCACCACCUGGAGACCCUGGAGGCGGCCGUCGUCUCCUACAGGGAAUUAAGUGGGAGGGCAGGCUCUGGACACCGGGUCCAAGGAAGCCAUCCAUUCCACAUUGUUGCAGUGUUUGCCAAGCAAGGAGGAAAUCUGUCAUCUCCUGCUGUGGAAGGGACCCUGGGCCCGGCCACCGCCUACCGGCUCCCUUCCUCCAGGGACCUGGAUGACCCCCACCUCGCCCCUUCUCCUGAGGGAGGCCACUCUCCCUCCUUGCUGUGGGUGGUGCCAGGCUGCCAAGGUGUUAUUUUGUUCAGCAGGGGGUGGAGUCUUGGGCCGCCACAGCUGUGACGACUCUGAGGAUGUUUUUUCCCACAAAGGAACCGAGCAGGCUGGGGGUGUCAGCAAAUGCGGUCCUCUCUCUGUUACUGCUGCCCCUGCACCAGGCCUGGUCAAGGGGUGACAGGCCUCAGACACCCAAAAGGCAGUGUCCAGGGGUCGUGAGGUAAGAUCAGAACCCACCUUGGUGUUGCGUUAAACACCAAGUUGAAAUAUUUGCAUGAGCACAGAGAACAGUGCGGGGCGUGCACACCGAAGCACGGGUGCCGCUCACUGAGGGCUGAGAUCGCGGGCAUCAUAUGGGUACUCUAGGGAGAACCUAAGACUUUUGAAAUUAAAGACGUUCAGAGGAGG
Manis javanica (Malayan pangolin) is the source of this 2671-nucleotide non-coding RNA. Lineage: Eukaryota; Metazoa; Chordata; Mammalia; Pholidota; Manidae. The record is from RefSeq and is a predicted model, not a curated record.